AGAAAGUGCAGUUUUGCAUUAUUUAUGUUCACCGUUUGACCGUCGUCUUAUUUAAGUUUUUUUAUGAUUAGUAUUUUUUAUUGUUAUUAGAUAAUAAAAUAUAAAUAGUAUUUUAUGUGUGGCUAAUGUUUUUAUUUUUUUUAAAUUUUUUUAAAUAAAGCAGACUGUUAAACUUGGAUAUGAAAACUCACGACUGCACUUAAA
RNAcentral lists this microRNA precursor (204 nucleotides) under Oryza meridionalis. RNAcentral describes it as "MIR812 microRNA precursor family". It matches the Rfam family "MIR812 microRNA precursor family". The record is from Rfam by way of RNAcentral. Lineage: Eukaryota; Viridiplantae; Streptophyta; Magnoliopsida; Poales; Poaceae.